Molecule: ribosomal RNA, 460 nt
Filed under: uncultured bacterium
Lineage: Bacteria
Description: partial 16S ribosomal RNA
Rfam family: Bacterial small subunit ribosomal RNA
Source: RNAcentral
CCUACGGGUGGCAGCAGUGAGGAAUAUUGGUCAAUGGCCGCAAGGCUGAACCAGCCAUGUCGCGUGAAGGAAGAAGGAUCUAUGGUUUGUAAACUUCUUUUAUCGGGGAAUAAAGGUAUCCACUUGUAGCUAUUUGCAUGUACCCUAUGAAUAAGCAUCGGCUAACUCCGUGCCAGCAGCCGCGGUAAUACGGAGGAUACGAGCGUUAUCCGGAUUUAUUUGGUUUAAAGGGUGCGUAGGUUGUUGUUUAAGUUAGCUGUGAAAGUAUGUGGCUCAACCAUAAAAUUGCCGUUGAAACUGGAAGACUUGAGUGUGGUUGAGGUAGGCGGAAUGCGUGGUGUAGCGGUGAAAUGCAUAGAGAUCACGAAGAACGCCGAUGGCGAAGGCAGCUUACUAAGCCAUAACUGACACUGAAGCACGAAAGCGUGGGGAUCAAACAGGAUUAGAUACCCUGGUAGUC